AUUGAACGCUGGCGGCAGGCCUAACACAUGCAAGUCGAGCGGAUGACGGGAGCUUGCUCCUUGAUUCAGCGGCGGACGGGUGAGUAAUGCCUAGGAAUCUGCCUGGUAGUGGGGAACAACGUUUCGAAAGGAACGCUAAUACCGCAUACGUCCUACGGGAGAAAGCAGGGGACCUUCGGGCCUUGCGCUAUCAGAUGAGCCUAGGUCGGAUUAGCUAGUAGGUGAGGUAAUGGCUCACCUAGGCGACGAUCCGUAACUGGUCUGAGAGGAUGAUCAGUCACACUGGAACUGAGACACGGUCCAGACUCCUACGGGAGGCAGCAGUGGGGAAUAUUGGACAAUGGGCGAAAGCCUGAUCCAGCCAUGCCGCGUGUGUGAAGAAGGUCUUCGGAUUGUAAAGCACUUUAAGUUGGGAGGAAGGGCAGUAAGUUAAUACCUUGCUGUUUUGACGUUACCGACCGAAUAAGCACCGGCUAACUCUGUGCCAGCCGCCGCCGUAA
RNAcentral lists this ribosomal RNA (500 nucleotides) under uncultured bacterium. RNAcentral describes it as "partial 16S ribosomal RNA". It matches the Rfam family "Bacterial small subunit ribosomal RNA", at positions 30 to 523 of the family's 1533-position model. The record is from RNAcentral.